RNAcentral lists this ribosomal RNA (468 nucleotides) under uncultured bacterium. RNAcentral's name for it is "partial 16S ribosomal RNA". It matches the Rfam family "Bacterial small subunit ribosomal RNA", at positions 28 to 507 of the family's 1533-position model. The record is from RNAcentral.
GACGAACGCUGGCGGCGUGCUUAACACAUGCAAGUCGAACGGAAAGGCCCUGCUUUUGUGGGGUGCUCGAGUGGCGAACGGGUGAGUAACACGUGAGUAACCUGCCCUUGACUUUGGGAUAACUUCAGGAAACUGGGGCUAAUACCGGAUAGGAUCUCCUGCUGCAUGGUGGGGGUUGGAAAGUUUCGGCGGUUGGGGAUGGACUCGCGGCUUAUCAGCUUGUUGGUGGGGUAGUGGCUUACCAAGGCUUUGACGGGUAGCCGGCCUGAGAGGGUGACCGGCCACAUUGGGACUGAGAUACGGCCCAGACGCCUACGGGAGGCAGAAGUGGGGAAUAUUGCACAAUGGGCGGAAGCCUGAUGCAGCAACGCCGCGUGCGGGAUGACGGCCUUCGGGUUGUAAACCGAUUUCGCCUGUGACGAAGCGUGAGUGACGGUAAUGGGUAAAGAAGCACCGGCUAACUACGUG